RNAcentral lists this ribosomal RNA (253 nucleotides) under uncultured bacterium. RNAcentral's name for it is "partial 16S ribosomal RNA". It matches the Rfam family "Bacterial small subunit ribosomal RNA", at positions 524 to 776 of the family's 1533-position model. The record is from RNAcentral.
UACGUAGGGUGCAAGCGUUGUCCGGAAUUAUUGGGCGUAAAGAGCUCGUAGGCGGUCUGUCGCGUCUGGUGUGAAAACUCGGGGCUUAACUCCGGGCCUGCAUCGGGUACGGGCAGACUAGAGUGCGGUAGGGGAGACUGGAAUUCCUGGUGUAGCGGUGAAAUGCGCAGAUAUCAGGAGGAACACCGGUGGCGAAGGCGGGUCUCUGGGCCGUAACUGACGCUGAGGAGCGAAAGCAUGGGGAGCGAACAGG